AUUGAACGCUGGCGGCAGGCCUAACACAUGCAAGUCGAACGAGUGGCGGACGGGCGAGUAAUGUCUGGGAAACUGCCUGAUGGAGGGGGAUAACUACUGGAAACGGUAGCUAAUACCGCAUACCAUCAGAUGUGCUCAGGUGGGUUUAGACAUGCGGUGGGGUAACGGCUAAUCAAGGCGACGAUCCCUAGCUGGUCUGAGAGGAUGACCAGCCACACUGGGACUGAGACACGGUCCAGACUCCGACGGGAGGCAGCAGUGGGGAAUAUUGCACAAUGGGCGCAAGCCUGAUGCAGCCAUGCCGCGUGUAUGAAGAAGGCCUUCGGGUUGUAAAGUACUUUCAGCGGGGAGGCGUUACCCGCAGAGGAAGCACCGGCUAACUCCGUGCCAGCAGCCGCGGUAAUAC
Molecule: ribosomal RNA, 406 nt
Filed under: uncultured bacterium
Lineage: Bacteria
Description: partial 16S ribosomal RNA
Rfam family: Bacterial small subunit ribosomal RNA
Source: RNAcentral